AGAUUUGCUAAGACAAAGAUUAAUUUGUAACUGUGAUGCCAUUCCUGUGAUUGAUUUCAGAUUAUACAUUCUAUUUACACAUCCAUGGAAAGUGUUUUGUGACAUCCUGAGGUUGUGAAAGGCACCGUACAAAUGAACUAGUCAACAAUGGUACCUCUUUCAUGCUUCGUGUGGGUAUUGUACGCUAUUCCAGCAGGAUGGCCACACACAGUUAAACUCAAUGCCAUCAGCUCGUGAGUCUGCGGACACCCAUCAGGAGCAGCAGCAAUCCACACCAAUUUAUUUUUAUUAUUUUUGCCUAUGUAGCCCAGAGAUCGAGAGAUAAAUUCCAAUACCCUCCUUGAUGCCCAAACUAACUGGGCACAGACCAUGUAACAAACCUGAAUCUUGCUGUUCUUUAUUAUCACAUAAUAUGCCAACUUCAUAGUGGUGAUGUGUUUAUGCAUUAAGCCAUUUGUAACAUCGAAUUCAGUCUAUUUUGUUGGUCAUUUGUGCUUGAGACUGAAAUGAUCCAAUACAGUUUUACAAUUUCAAAAUUAAUGCAUUUAUUGUCACUUUUAUUGAACAUGUCCAAUAAUGAAAUGCUAUGGUUAAUGUGCUAAUUAAAAUGUAUUAACAAAAGCCAAAAA
This is a long non-coding RNA of Rhincodon typus (whale shark), 629 nucleotides long. RefSeq lists it as uncharacterized. The record is from RefSeq and is a predicted model, not a curated record. Lineage: Eukaryota; Metazoa; Chordata; Chondrichthyes; Orectolobiformes; Rhincodontidae. The transcript has 3 exons.